RNAcentral lists this ribosomal RNA (501 nucleotides) under uncultured bacterium. Its description in RNAcentral is "partial 16S ribosomal RNA". It matches the Rfam family "Bacterial small subunit ribosomal RNA", at positions 30 to 523 of the family's 1533-position model. The record is from RNAcentral.
AUUGAACGCUGGCGGCAGGCUUAACACAUGCAAGUCGAGCGGGGGAAGGUAGCUUGCUACCGGACCUAGCGGCGGACGGGUGAGUAAUGCUUAGGAAUCUGCCUAUUAGUGGGGGACAACAUCUCGAAAGGGAUGCUAAUACCGCAUACGUCCUACGGGAGAAAGCAGGGGAUCUUCGGACCUUGCGCUAAUAGAUGAGCCUAAGUCGGAUUAGCUAGUUGGUGGGGUAAGGGCCUACCAAGGCGACGAUCUGUAGCGGGUCUGAGAGGAUGAUCCGCCACACUGGGACUGAGACACGGCCCAGACUCCUACGGGAGGCAGCAGUGGGGAAUAUUGGACAAUGGGGGGAACCCGGAUCCAGCCAUGCCGCGUGUGUGAAGAAGGCCUUAGGGUUGUAAAGCACUUUAAGCGAGGAGGAGGCUACUCUAGUUAAUACCUAGGGAUAGUGGACGUUACUCGCAGAAUAAGCACCGGCUAACUCUGUGCCAGCCGCCGCCGUAA